UGGGCUCGAACGGCUGGUCAACGGCGGUGGAAACAUCGCUACCCCGCAAGGGGGUCCAGUCGAGGUGCUGCAUGGCUGUCGUCAGCUCGUGUCGUGAGAUGUUGGGUUAAGUCCCGCAACGAGCGCAACCCUUGUCCUGUGUUGCAACCCCGCAAGGGGGCACUCUCAGGAGACCGCCAGCGAUAAGUUGGAGGAAGGUGGGGAUGACGUAAGUGACCUUUGC
RNAcentral lists this unclassified non-coding RNA (223 nucleotides) under uncultured Bryobacterales bacterium. RNAcentral's name for it is "contains 16S-23S intergenic spacer region". It matches the Rfam family "Bacterial small subunit ribosomal RNA", at positions 976 to 1199 of the family's 1533-position model. Lineage: Bacteria; Pseudomonadati; Acidobacteriota; Terriglobia; Bryobacterales. The record is from RNAcentral.